Myotis daubentonii (Daubenton's bat) is the source of this 4538-nucleotide RNA transcript. It is a transcript of the gene named DnaJ heat shock protein family (Hsp40) member C5, with no coding region annotated. The record is from RefSeq and is a predicted model, not a curated record. NCBI's taxonomy places the organism in Eukaryota, Metazoa, Chordata, Mammalia, Chiroptera, Vespertilionidae.
CGAAGCCCACGUCCUUCCGGGGACGCGCGCGCCGGUGCGGAUGCGUGCGUGAGCGUGCGCGCCUCCGCCGCCUCUGCCGGUGCUGCUUCCGCGCCCUCUGCCGCUGCCCCCGCCGCCGCCGCCGCCUCUGCCUCUGCCUCUGCCCGGGGUCCCUGAGGCGCAGCUCCGGCUGAGGAGCGCGCCGGCCGGCUGCCCACCAGCGUCGCGGAGCAGAGCGGGCGGGCGGACGGGCGCGCGGACAGACUAACCUACCAUGGCCGACCAGCGACAGCGCUCACUCUCUACCUCCGGGGAAUCGCUGUACCAUGUUCUGGGGCUGGACAAGAACGCAACCUCAGACGACAUUAAAAAGUCCUACAGGAAACUGGCCCUGAAAUAUCACCCGGACAAAAACCCUGACAACCCAGAGGCUGCGGACAAGUUCAAGGAGAUCAACAACGCACACACCAUCCUCACGGACGCCACGAAGAGGAACAUCUACGACAAGUACGGCUCGCUGGGGCUGUACGUGGCCGAGCAGUUUGGGGAGGAGAACGUCAACACCUACUUCGUGCUGUCCAGUUGGUGGGCAAAGGCCCUGUUUGUCUUCUGUGGGCUCCUCACCUGCUGCUACUGCUGCUGCUGCCUGUGCUGCUGCUUCAACUGCUGCUGCGGGAAGUGCAAGCCCAAGGCGCCCGAGGGCGAGGAGACCGAGUUCUACGUGUCCCCCGAGGACCUGGAGGCGCAGCUGCAGUCGGACGAGCGGGGAGGGCACUGACAUGGGGCCAGGAUGUGUGUGGCAGCUGGGCCCGUUGAGGUUGAACGUGGACUCGGAGAGGCCACAGACACACCGAUUGUCAUACAGCCAGCGUCCGCCACAGAGACCACUCAACUCACAGCCGAGUCCCACCCCAGCUACCACACCGACGGGUUCAAUUAAGUUCAGGAGAAGCUACGAUGUGCGGAUCAAUCAGCACCCGGCCACUUCAACCUGAGAAUCAUGAACUGUAGUCACAGAGGUGGGGAGGGAGCCGCUCUGGCCUGGGAAGGGCCCUCCCGCCUCUGUGCCCACCCACCCGCCAACCCCAACACGUGAAGUGCGUAGCAUGCAGUAUUUAAAGCAGUUUAGCUACGGUCGCCGUCUUCUGUUUUUCCUUUCUAAUAGCAUGUGUGGGGUCUGUUCCAUGUCUGUCUGUGUUGUGGACGUGCUGCAGCGAGACCACAUUGAGCACUGGUGGCACCGCCGGGCUGUCAGGUCGCUGCCGUGAGCUGCCACACGGUGUGUCCCCAGCAGGUGGGAGGGGCCGCCCGCUCUGUGCUCCUGCACCGGCAGGUGCUGCCUGCAGAGCUGUGGGUCUGGUCCAGGAGGGGCCGCAGGCAGGGCCUCUCCGCACUGUGACGCCCCCGGGUGUUGGUGGCAAGGACAGUUAGUGCAGCUGCUGCUCACCUUGUGUGCAUGGCCUUGUGGCGGGGCUUUUCCGAGGGUGAGUGUGUUGUGGGGACCGGGAGCUCCUGAUGUGAGACCUCCUCCCGGCCUGGGUCUAGCCCGAGUCCCCUGUGCCAUGAGCUGGGUCGAUGGCCACAACCGGCGUCUCCCCUCUCCCUUCUCUGUGUCAGCCUCCACAUUCCUCCAGGGUGAGUUAGAACUAAUUUGCUGAAACCAGGCCUCUUUGUAACCAUCUUGGAUGUCGAAGCACCACAGUGGCAGCUGAGGCCCAGACAGUCAGUCAGGCUGAGUCCAGGCUGCCGGUGGCGCCUGGCUGCCCAGCCUCCUCUCUGCUUCCCGAACCCCUGCUCACCCUCUUCCUUCAGCUGCUCCUCAGCCAGAGGCAGAGGCGUCAGGGUCCUGGGGAAGGACCCGCUGGAUCAAAGGCACACUCGGCGUGGGAGCCGUGGGCCCGGGGAGCCUGGCGCCCUUGGCUUGUUAGCCAGCAGCCAGACCAGGAUCUCACUGCUGUUGCAGGCAGAGCCUUUUGUGAACUGCUGGAAGUCUGUCCUUCCUUCUGUCCCAGGCCUGGUUGGUGGCGCCCCUGCUUUGGGGGACUGAGGAGGUGUGAGUUACGUUGUACCAAGUAGCAGAUUCCCUACUGGCCCUACACCCAGCUUCUGGAGGCUCAAGGGCCCCACGUGGGCCUGGUGUCUGCAGAAUGAAUGUUCUCGCUGCUCCUGUGUGUCCCAGGAGAGUGAAGGCCAAGCGCGGGAAGGCUGGGCGACAUGGUUCCCUGGCUUGGCCGAACCAGACAUGUUCCUGAAGCCACUGUUCUCCCCUGUGGCCCUUGCUGCCCAUCAGGCUGUGCUAGCUAGAGCUGUGUGUGGGGGCCUGGCCACUUGCAGAACCCUCAGUCCUAGGGCCCCUCCUGGCUGGCCCUCCUGCAGGCCAGCCUAGGACCUGGGCAGCUGCUUGGUCCCAUUGUGGUUUUUUUUGUUCAUUGUAGUGAUCAUGAAGAUGUUCAAUGAGAGGAUAUCCCUGCACUGUGAUGUUGAGUUAGAACUAAUUUGCUAAAACCAGGCCUCUCCUAAAAGGAUAAGAAACUCAUUGUUUGACCCACCAGGGAACGAGGGAGGAGGCGAGAACAGGCCAUCUCCUGUGCCGACCCCGGUUCCGAAGCCCAGGAUUCAGCCGGAGCUCCUGGCCACCUGGGGCUACUUCUGGAAGUGGUUUAGGAAAUGAGGUGCUUUCCCCAGAAUGACCAGGAACCCAGUUUAAAUGUCCACCCAGCCAGGCCCUCCAUGUGUGUCACUGAGUCCCCGCCAGGUGUCUGCCGGUGGCAGCGUGGUGUUGCUCUUCGGGGCAGGGUGGCUUGGGAGGGACAGCAGAGAUCGCGGGGGGGGUGCUGAGGACCGCGGGCGGCCCCGAGGGCAGGCCCCUUCCGAGUGUUCUUGUGGUCGCUUUCAAGACGAAGGUCCCGGUGCAUUUCCCUCUUCUGCCUGGUCUGUUUUUGGUGAGCAGAGUUCUUGCGCCUGGAGAGGCACUGGUUCAAAUGCUAAGUGGGGAGCAACCCUGUGCCUUCCAGAGCUGGGCCAGGUGUGGCCAGUGCUGGUGUCAGACGGCAGGUAGUGUGUGUGGCCCGGGGGUGUUGGGGUCUGUGUCAGAGGAAGCCCAUCCGCCUUGUCAAGGCAGGGCUGGCCUGACGGGCAGCCAGUGCAGUGGGCGCCCUGCAGGAAGCAUGUCUGAUGGCAGCUGCUAGUGUGUAGGCUUCUGCUCUGCUCAGUGACGUGUCUCGCCUUGUCUUCCUUUUGGCUCUGUUCUCGUUUCAAACUGCUUUAGACAUUACCACGUGGGGUGUGAGCCUCCCCCCACUGUCCCAUCCGUCAGUGCAGCCGCACCGCUGGGACCUGGCAGAGGAAGAGGUCAGAGUGGCUGUGGUUAGAGCAGGCGGUGUCUUCAUGCUGUCGGCCUGGGCUUCGCCGCCAGGCUCCUGCCAGGGCCAUCCUCGAUGUUCUAGGGGGCGGUCUGUGCCUGAGGAGCCCACACAGUGCUGCCAGCCACCGGGCUCGGGGCGGGGUGGGGCCUGUCUGUCCUUUCUGGCUGUCAUCUUGGUGCAUCUCCCAGGGGCAGUGGGGAUGGGCGUGAGGCAGGGGGCUGACCUCAUUCCUUCCUCACGUUCUCAGCUGUGAGCCCAUGCGACACAGGACUGACCUGCUUGCUCUGUUAGUUUGGUUGUGAACCUUCCGCCUGUGGAAUUGGCCAAAGCUGCAUCUUUACAGUCCUGACAGGCACGGUUAGUCUGUGCUACAGGUGUGGGCAGUGGUGCAUCUCCGUGUGUGUACAUAUUGUAUAUGUAUAUAUCGCGCAGCAGGACUGGCUGCUGCUGUCCAGUGGCAACGCAGCAAGUACAAUAAAAGUUGGCUCCAACACAGCCUUUUCCUUGACGAGUCCGGGCAGGAGUGGGUCCUGAGAGCUCUUCUGCUGGCUGCUCAGGAAACAGCGCUGAUGCCGCCGUGUACCUAGAGUUUGGGCGGAUGGCUGGGCGUGGUGCCUGAGCCCACUGCAGUGUCAGCUUACCCGGGGUAGGGUGCCCAUCAUGAUCACCUGAACCACGGGUGAAUGUCCCUGUGUGACAUCCGGGAGGUGGUAGAAACCCAUUCCACUUCGGAACAUUUAAAACCAAUUUUCUAAGCAUCAGAUACAAUCAGUGACCAACUGCAUUCUAAACAGUCUCUGUUGGGACCACAAAUUGGGCCGGGGGUUGCGGGGAGGAGCAGGGCCGUGCUGCCCCGCUCCAGGAGGGGUGGCCUGGUCCUAGGCACACCUUCAAUUUUGUUUCCCUGGAAAAUGGACUGAUGUUUCACGCUAAGUGAGGGGAGGCAGUUUGCACUGAAAUAUGUUGACGUUGUUUUUUAAAACUGAAGUGCAAUGCGUGGGAAGCAUUGUCUGCACUGGCUUUGUCCUGUGAGUGGAGCCUGGUGGAGCUGGGGCGCCUCAGGCCCUGACCCCACGGGCACACCCAGGGCCAGGCAGAGGGUUAGGAUGUUUCCCCACAGUGACCUCCAUCUUGUAUGUCUGAAUGUUGACCUAGAAUAAAGAUAACUGUUGUAAAAUAAAUGUUUUCACUGCA